AGUGAACGCUGGCGGUAGGCCUAACACAUGCAAGUCGAACGGCAGCACAGUGAGAGCUUGCUCUUACGGGUGGCGAGUGGCGGACGGGUGAGGAAUACAUAGGAAUCUACUUUUUCGUGGGGGAUAACGUAGGGAAACUUACGCUAAUACCGCAUACGACCUACGGGUGAGAGCAGGGGAUCUUCGGACCUUGCGCGAUUGAAUGAGCCGAUGUCGGAUUAGCUAGUUGGCGGGGUAAAGGCCCACCAAGGCGACGCUCCGUAGCUGGUCUGAGAGGAUGAUCAGCCACACUGGAACUGAGACACGGUCCAGACUCCGACGGGAGGCAGCAGUGGGGAAUAUUGGACAAUGGGCGCAAGCCUGAUCCAGCCAUACCGCGUGGGUGAAGAAGGCCUUCGGGUUGUAAAGCCCUUUUGUUGGGAAAGAAAAGCAGCAGGUUAAUACCCCGCUGUUCUGACGGUACCCAAAGAAUAAGCACCGGCUAACUUCGUG
This 492-nucleotide ribosomal RNA is filed under the name uncultured bacterium. RNAcentral's name for it is "partial 16S ribosomal RNA". It matches the Rfam family "Bacterial small subunit ribosomal RNA", at positions 29 to 507 of the family's 1533-position model. The record is from RNAcentral.